Molecule: ribosomal RNA, 348 nt
Filed under: uncultured bacterium
Lineage: Bacteria
Description: bacterial SSU rRNA
Rfam family: Bacterial small subunit ribosomal RNA
Source: RNAcentral
GAAGGGGGCAAGCGUUGUUCGGAAUUACUGGGCGUAAAGGGUGUGUAGGCGGAUUCGUAAGAUAGUGGUGAAAUACCUGAGCUCAACUUAGGAAUUGCCAUUAUAACUAUAGAUCUGGAGUGACAGAGAGGAUAUUGGAAUACCCAGUGUAGAGGUGAAAUUCGUAGAUAUUGGGUAGAACACCAGUGGCGAAGGCGAGUAUCUGGCUGUCAACUGACGCUGAGGCACGAAAGCAUGGGGAUCAAACAGGAUUAGAUACCCUGGUAGUCCAUGCUGUAAACGAUGAAUGCUAGUUGUCGGCAAAAGCCGGUGACGCAGUUAACGCGAUAAGCAUUCCGCCUGGGGAGU